AGUAGCUAGACUAAAACAACAAGCAAACGAAAAAAUCAUAAAACACCAAUCCAUUGUGUAAUCUAACUUUGAUCUAAAUCAGACAGCAAUGUGUUUAAAAAAUUCAAUAAUAAUUACAUUUGAAUAACGAAUAUUUAAAAUGCUGGAAUAUGCAUUCAACUUCUGCCAAUUGUCAUGAACAUCAAAUAUGUAAUCAUUUGAAACUGUUCAGGAAUUUAAAAUUAAACCUAACUUCUGAGAGAAAUUGUAAAAUAUUAAACUUUUAUGUUUUUUUUCUUAGGCUGGUCCCAAAUGAGUCAACCAAAUUGCUGACAACACAGUUAAAAUGUACUCAACUGGUUGCUAGCUUGUUAUGAAAAUUUAUACUCUGUUGCCUGUCGUCAAUGUCUUGUAAAUGAGUUGAUGAAAUAGAACAUUGAAGUUUGUGAUAUACAUAAUGAAAUCCAUUCAGCAUCAACUACCUCAUUUUGAGUUUCAAUGUCAUAUGUUACUUCAUUUUUCCUACACAUACACACACUUGGUCUGAAAUGUGCCUCUGCCAACCAAAAUAUUCAAUUCAGUGAAUACAACUUUAGUCACUGGUCAUGCCCUAUAGGACGACCUAGUAUGAUUUCAAAGGGACACGAUAGCAGCACAGUGGGAACAAAUUCUUGUCUCAAGGUUGUUCUCUGACAUGAAUUCAUAGUGAUUAUUAACUCGUUUGGGACCAGCCUUAACUUUACAAAUUCAUUGUUUUCUUCAUGCAUACACAGUUUUUAUAAUUACAUUAUACUCAAAUAUACUCUUAAAAAUUCAGCAUUAAUUGCAGUAUAGCACAUAAAACUGAAUA
This 829-nucleotide long non-coding RNA is filed under the name Androctonus crassicauda. Lineage: Eukaryota; Metazoa; Arthropoda; Arachnida; Scorpiones; Buthidae. The record is from RNAcentral.